Molecule: RNA transcript, 3348 nt
Organism: Diospyros lotus (date-plum)
Lineage: Eukaryota; Viridiplantae; Streptophyta; Magnoliopsida; Ericales; Ebenaceae
Exons: 5
Source: RefSeq, a predicted model, not a curated record
AGAAAAAAUAAGAAGUAAAAGCGUAGGGUUUGGUAAACCCUAUCUCUCCUCCGUCUCCUCCGCCGUCCGACCGUCUCACCCCUUCCGUCUCUGUCUCCCCUCUCGCUCUGUGUCCCCGUCUCUUCUCUGCCAGCGGCGGGUGUCGCUGCGGGUGAGCCACCACUGCAAAGCCUCUCACAUACGUAUCGCUGUAUCUCUCCGUUUCUUCUCUGCCAGCGGCGGGUGUCGCUGUGAACCACCACUGCAAAGCCCCUCACAGACGACAGAUCUCACUGAACCCGUUGCCGGCCGAGUCCAAUCUUUUUGGUUAUGAAAGAACUAUUCUCUACGGAUUGAUGGGGAUGCCAAGCAUGGUGAUAUGAUUGGAUUAGCAAGAUGUCAAGAACCAUCGGAUUCUUAUAUGCUGAAGAUCUUAACUCCGAAGAGCGAGCUAGAAAUUUUCACCUUGCAUUAUGGUAAAUACAUUUCUCAUUCAAGAUGGUGCUUUUUAUGGAGAUCAAAGAGGAAGAUAGGAUGUGGGCAACACUGGACAUAUUUUCUAGGGGGAAUAUCCAUGAAAUGCGGUAAAGGUAAAGUAGUGGUUGAGAGCGAGUCCAGUGGGACUAAAGUCUAGGGUUAGAGGCAUACAAAAAUCUUUCAGAUUAAAUGGUCCAUGUUAGUGUUUGUGAAGAGGGUAUGUGUGAGAAAAUUUUAUGUUGUAAAAUUUAUCAGUGCCCUUGUAUUUCAUUUUGUGUAGGUCAUGGUGCCAAAAUGUUAUAAACUUUUUUGUUGGUUUUUGCUGAAUUUAUCUAAGGAUUGUAAUGUGGUGUUAUGCGUUAUUGGUCUAUAUCAUUAUUAUGAUGACCUCAUUUCGAAUAUUCUAUAUUAGUGGGACUAUCCAGGAGUCGACCACUACACAAAUGCCCACUAGAUAAAUGACAAUGGAUGUGAAGUGAAGUGGUAGGAGAUGACAAGGAUGGUUUAAUAAGAAAGAUCAUGCAGCUAUCAUCGCCACAUGGGGUGAAAAUGAUCAGCAUGGUAAUGACAAUAGAGGGUUCUACAAUAAUAAAACCUAGAGAGAGUCAAAUCAAUUUCCCUAUGUAUGCAAUCAUUUAUUCAUCAUUUUCACCUUUUUUUUUUUUCUCUCAUAAAAAUCUUACUUAAAAUGGAGGUUUAGGGAUUUUCAGCUUUCAUUGUGUCCCUUGCCUAAACAUUUCAAUUUGCAGUUGUUUAUAAUUAAGCAACUCGAUCUUCAGUAUGAAAUUUCUUUGGCUAUGAGAACAUCAUGUUGGAUAAAGGCAAUUAAACAAUUGUAUAAAAUUGUGGGAAUAAAAAAUGGUCGUUUCCAUAAAAAAUGGUCGAAGUAGACAUGUAGUGCUAGGAUAAAAAUUGGGCAUUGAGUACAUACUCGGUGAUAUCAAUACUGAGAAAUCAGAUAAAUACUUUUUAGAUUAUCUUCCAAAUAUUGGUAGAAUAUUUUGUUGGUACUUUGUAAUCAUCGUAUUCCUAUACAAAAUAUCCUUAUAGAAUGUUACAGAUUUUAGAAUAUGUUUGACAUUUUGUUGAUGUUUUGUAAUCUUCAUAAUCUUCUAUAAUAUAUUCUUGUAGAACCUUAUAGAUUUUAGGUUGUCUUCAAAAUUUUGACAGAAUAUUUAUAUUUUGUAAUCUUUAAUAAAAAUAUUCUUGUAGGACGUUAUAGAAAUAGAAUAUCUUCCAAGUAUAGAAUAUUUUGUAAUCUUCUAUAAAAUAUUUUUUGUAAAAUUAUGAAUAUAUGUGUUCUUUUUUUUAUUUUUUCUUUCAACUUAUAGUUUUAAAAGAGAAAUUAAAUAUAACAUGGUUAGCCCAACCACAAAGGAAAUGCUUUGAGUCAUAACAAAGACAAUCUAGAACCAAAAGCUCUGCACCAACACAUUAAUUUUGCCAAACAUAGUAAAGAGAAAUCCUAAUUACUAAAUAUAAAAGGCAAAUCAAAAAAAGAAGAAAUGAGGACACUAACAUGAUCCAUUUAGAUGAAACAAAAAACUUUAGGACACGACAAUAUCUACCACUGCCAAACAAUGAUAAAUAAGAAUAGCCAAACUACCAUACCAUUGGCUUGUUUCAAUCUUAUCAUAACCACCAUAAGAUUUAGUGAAAUAAAGCACUAGAUCUACAAAUAUAAACCAUCCUCGUUAUCAUUCAACCAUAAACCUUUCUUUAAACAUAAAUAAGGUAUCACUAAGAAAAUUAGCCAAAUUGGGUCGACGUCAUAGAUCCCAAACACAUUUCACAAUGAAAGUCCGUAGGAACUAAGCUACAUCGAAAUAAGUCAAUUAAGUCACUAUUGAGAACUUAAAUAGUAGUGUCGAGCAAGUUAGUGACAACCAAAAUGGCUUGGAAUAAAGAAAUAUCGAUAUAUGGGAUAAACAAAAGGCAAUGGGAGUGAAGUGAUGUGGGAGGAGAUGACAGGGAAGGUGUAAGUGGAAAGGCGAUGAAACCAUUAUUGAUCCAUAGGAAGAAAGUGAUAUACAAGGAUGAAGACGAUGAAAGACUCAAUAAUCAAUAAAACCUAGCUAGAGAGAGAACCAAAUUGCUUUCCCUAUAGGCUAAAGCAUUUUUUUCAUCACCACCACAUUUUUUCCCCUUAAAAAUCUUAAUUAAAAAGGGAGGGCUAUGGAUUUUCACCUAGAAUUGUGGCAAUUACAUCAUUGAUUCAAUUUUGGAGUUGUUUCUAAUUAAACAACUCGAUCUUCCUUGCAAAAUCCCCAUGGCUAAGAGAAUGACUUGUUAGAUUAAACAAAUAAAACAAUUAUAUAAAACCAUGGAAAACCAAAACCUUUGAGGAUUUUAUUUUAAAAUAAUAUGUUAGAGUGCAUCGGUAGAUAAUUGCUCUUUUCGACCCAAAAGGGAGGCGGUUGGACGUGAGCUCACAACGUCAGGGAAUAGACUUAGGGGGGUGGAUGGUACCUGCAAGUACUUUAACGCUCAAGUAAGUAAGAGAGUAAAAUGACAGAGUAUCAAUAGGUUAGAGAAGAACCUACCUUGGCUCUGAAAAGAGCUGAUUUAUAUAGAAGGAUGAGAGGUUUUUUUGCAUGCAUGCAUCGUGCGUUUGCAGGGUGAUGAGACUGGAUAUCCGGCGCUGACGAAGCUUCUUGAUAGUGGCAUGGUGUCGAUAAGACACUCAUUAAUGUGGAUGACAUCCACCAUUAAUGAGGAUGAGAUCUUGAGCGAGUGUGGGAGUACCCAACAUGCAGUUGUAAUGAUGUUGCUGCAUGCUAACGUAGGGCCAGAGUUGAGCCAAGGCCGAGAUUGGGUUGUUGGUUAAGAUCAGGCCAGGAUGGAGCUUGAUUGGUCCAUGGGCUAAGAUAGAGUUGGAUUGGGCUAGAGGCU